UUCUGAUACAUGUCAUCCACUGAAAGCAAAGACACCUGAGCAGACAAAGGAAUAUUUCUCAUCAAAGACCUGCAUAAGACUUGUUGUAGGAACUGACGCCCAAUCACACACAAAGCAAAGAAGGAAUAGACAGCGAUGGUGACCACCUGUGGAGAAGCGGCUGUUAAACAUUUGCCAGGGUUUCAAGAGAGCAUCAUGUAACUAUGCUUUUCACUGCAGAAACCAAAACAUUCUCCUGCAGUACAGGAGGUCUGCACAUUAUGCCCUAGCAUGUCCUGCGCACCCUACCAAUUCAAAAACAAUUAAACUGGCACUUUCACAAACUGAUCUAUUUCCUAGCUUGUUAUUUGAUGUUCGUUGGGAAACAGCUGACUAUUUUGGAGCUGGAAACUUGUUCCUUUCCUCUGCAAUAAAAAAAUGAGACGUUAAGUAAAA
Long non-coding RNA from Podarcis raffonei (Aeolian wall lizard), 435 nucleotides. RefSeq lists it as uncharacterized. Lineage: Eukaryota; Metazoa; Chordata; Lepidosauria; Squamata; Lacertidae. The transcript is spliced from 2 exons. The record is from RefSeq and is a predicted model, not a curated record.